AACUAACGCUGGCGGCAUGCCUAACACAUGCAAGUCGAACGAGACCUUCGGGUCUAGUGGCGCACGGGUGCGUAACGCGUGGGAACCUGCCCUUAGGUUCGGAAUAACUCCCCGAAAGGGGUCCUAAUACCGGAUAAUGUAUUCGGCCCAAAGAUUUAUCGCCUUUGGAUGGGCCCGCGUUGGAUUAGCUAGUUGGUAGGGUAAAAGCCUACCAAGGCGACGAUCCAUAGCUGGUCUGAGAGGAUGAUCAGCCACACUGGGACUGAGACACGGCCCAGACUCCUACGGGAGGCAGCAGUGGGGAAUAUUGGACAAUGGGCGAUAGCCUGAUCCAGCAAUGCCGCGUGAGUGAUGAAGGCCGUAGGGUUGUAAAGCUCUUUUACCCGGGAUGAUAAUGACAGUACCGGGAGAAUAAGCACCGGCUAACUCCGUG
Molecule: ribosomal RNA, 433 nt
Filed under: uncultured bacterium
Lineage: Bacteria
Description: partial 16S ribosomal RNA
Rfam family: Bacterial small subunit ribosomal RNA
Source: RNAcentral